GGCUAUAUAGCUCAGCUGGUUAGAGCACGGCACUCAUAAUGCUGAGGCCGGUGGUUCAAUUCCACCUAUAGCCA
This 74-nucleotide transfer RNA is filed under the name Candidatus Azosocius agrarius. RNAcentral's name for it is "tRNA-Met". It matches the Rfam family "tRNA". Rfam says of the family: Transfer RNA (tRNA) molecules are approximately 80 nucleotides in length. Their secondary structure includes four short double-helical elements and three loops (D, anti-codon, and T loops). Further hydrogen bonds mediate the characteristic L-shaped molecular structure. tRNAs have two regions of fundamental functional importance: the anti-codon, which is responsible for specific mRNA codon recognition, and the 3' end, to which the tRNAs corresponding amino acid is attached (by aminoacyl-tRNA synthetases). tRNAs cope with the degeneracy of the genetic code in two manners: having more than one tRNA (with a specific anti-codon) for a particular amino acid; and 'wobble' base-pairing, i.e. permitting non-standard base-pairing at the 3rd anti-codon position. The record is from RNAcentral. Lineage: Bacteria; Pseudomonadati; Pseudomonadota; Gammaproteobacteria; Candidatus Azoamicaceae.